GAUGAACGCUGGCGGCGUGCCUAAUACAUGCAAGUCGAGCGAACAGACGAGGAGCUUGCUCCUCUGACGUUAGCGGCGGACGGGUGAGUAACACGUGGAUAACCUACCUAUAAGACUGGGAUAACUUCGGGAAACCGGAGCUAAUACCGGAUAAUAUAUUGAACCGCAUGGUUCAAUAGUGAAAGACGGUUUUGCUGUCACUUAUAGAUGGAUCCGCGCCGCAUUAGCUAGUUGGUAAGGUAACGGCUUACCAAGGCGACGAUGCGUAGCCGACCUGAGAGCAUGAGCAGACAACCGUUGACACUCGCCCGCGCCAUACCCCUGCGGGAGGCAGCAAGCGGGUACCUUCGACAGUGGGCGAAAGCCUAUCUGACUCCGGCCUCGGGAGUGAAGAAUUUUUUCGCACCCUAAUCCUGUCUUAUCGGGAAAAAACAAGAAGGACACGAACGACGCCGUGCUUGCCGUCCCCGAAUCAGACGACACCGCCCACCUCCGCC
This 497-nucleotide ribosomal RNA is filed under the name uncultured bacterium. RNAcentral describes it as "partial 16S ribosomal RNA". It matches the Rfam family "Bacterial small subunit ribosomal RNA", at positions 28 to 509 of the family's 1533-position model. The record is from RNAcentral.